UACAGAGGUGGCAAGCGUUGUUCGGAAUUACUGGGCGUAAAGCGUGCGCAGGCGGCGCCGCAAGUCGAGUGUGAAAUCCCCGAGCUUAACUUGGGAAUUGCGCUCGAAACUACGAUGCUGGAGUGUGGCAGAGGGAGGUGGAAUUCCACGUGUAGCGGUGAAAUGCGUAGAGAUGUGGAGGAACACCGAUGGCGAAGGCAGCCUCCUGGGCCAACACUGACGCUCAUGCACGAAAGCGUGGGGAGCGAACAGG
This 253-nucleotide ribosomal RNA is filed under the name uncultured bacterium. Its description in RNAcentral is "partial 16S ribosomal RNA". It matches the Rfam family "Bacterial small subunit ribosomal RNA", at positions 524 to 776 of the family's 1533-position model. The record is from RNAcentral.